GACGAACGCUGGCGGCGUGCUUAACACAUGCAAGUCGAACGGAAAGGCCCUGCUUUUGUGGGGUGCUCGAGUGGCGAACGGGUGAGUAACACGUGAGUAACCUGCCCUUGACUUUGGGAUAACUUCAGGAAACUGGGGCCAAUACCGGAUAGGAGCUCCUGCUGCAUGGUGGGGGUUGGAAAGUUUCGGCGGUUGGGGAUGGACUCGCGGCUUAUCAGCUUGUUGGUGGGGUAGUGGCUUACCAAGGCUUUGACGGGUAGCCGGCCUGAGAGGGUGACCGGCCACAUUGGGACUGAGAUACGGCCCAGACUCCUACGGGAGGCAGCAGUGGGGAAUAUUGCACAAUGGGCGGAAGCCUGAUGCAGCAACGCCGCGUGCGGGAUGACGGCCUUCGGGUUGUAAACCGCUUUCGCCUGUGACGAAGCGUGAGUGACGGUAAUGGGUAAAGAAGCACCGGCUAACUACGUGCCAGCAGCCGCGGUGAUACGUAGGGUGCGAGCGUUGUCCGGAUUUAUUGGGCGUAAAGGGCUCGUAGGUGGUUGAUCGCGUCGGAAGUGUAAUCUUGGGGCUUAACCCUGAGCGUGCUUUCGAUACGGGUUGACUUGAGGAAGGUAGGGGAGAAUGGAAUUCCUGGUGGAGCGGUGGAAUGCGCAGAUAUCAGGAGGAACACCAGUGGCGAAGGCGGUUCUCUGGGCCUUUCCUGACGCUGAGGAGCGAAAGCGUGGGGAGCGAACAGGCUUAGAUACCCUGGUAGUCCACGCUGUAAACGGUGGGUACUAGGUGUGGGGUCCAUUCCACGGGUUCCGUGCCGUAGCUAACGCUUUAAGUACCCCGCCUGGGGAGUACGGCCGCAAGGCUAAAACUCAAAGGAAUUGACGGGGCCCCGCACAAGCGGCGGAGCAUGCGGAUUAAUUCGAUGCAACGCGUAGAACCUUACCUGGGUUUGACAUGGAUCGGGAGCGCUCAGAGAUGGGUGUGCCUCUUUUGGGGUCGGUUCACAGGUGGUGCAUGGCUGUCGUCAGCUCGUGUCGUGAGAUGUUGGGUUAAGUCCCGCAACGAGCGCAACCCUUGUUCACUGUUGCCAGCACGUUAUGGUGGGGACUCAGUGGAGACCGCCGGGGUCAACUCGGAGGAAGGUGGGGAUGACGUCAAGUCAUCAUGCCCCUUAUGUCCAGGGCUUCACGCAUGCUACAAUGGCUGGUACAGAGAGUGGCGAGCCUGUGAGGGUGAGCGAAUCUCGGAAAGCCGGUCUCAGUUCGGAUUGGGGUCUGCAACUCGACCUCAUGAAGUCGGAGUCGCUAGUAAUCGCAGAUCAGCAACGCUGCGGUGAAUACGUUCCCGGGGCU
This 1346-nucleotide ribosomal RNA is filed under the name uncultured bacterium. Its description in RNAcentral is "bacterial SSU rRNA". It matches the Rfam family "Bacterial small subunit ribosomal RNA", at positions 28 to 1381 of the family's 1533-position model. The record is from RNAcentral.